AAGGUGUCGCGGGCUUAGAGUGGGGUAUCCCCAGUAAUCAGAAAGAAAGGGAGCGAGAAAAAGAAACACCUAUUGGUCGCCUCUCAUAGGCUCCCCAACUGGAGAUCCAACCUUCAACCUAGCUGAUGGAGAGGAAGACAGGGAACGCGCAUGCUGGACCGUGCUGGGGAUGUAAACCCCGAAGAGGCAGGAGCUCAUCUGCCGGAGCAGCUGAUGUUUGAUACUCUUCACACUCUUCCAAGAGAAUUUCAAGAAAUGUUCAAAAACAACCAAGGAAGCCAUAAGGUGUCUAGGAGAACCUAAGUUGUAAAUCUGCCAACUACUUUCUAAAUUUGAAGGUCACAUUUGGCUGGGGGUGGGUGCUCCUAGGCAAGAUGGUUGUGUAAACUCCUAAAUCCCCACUGAAGUGACUCAGGGCAAAAAUACCCACAUCAGUGCUAGAAACCUGGAGUUACACUCAGCUGCCAGAAAUAAGGGGGAAUGUCUGGUAGACGUUUUUGUUGAUGUGUUACUAGCACAUUGAGUAACUAGCACAUUAAGUAACAGUGUGACUCUUGGGAUGUGAUCAUAAUGUGACUUCCCUUUUGUCACCCAUUGUGUCUUUACAUUGGCCUCAUGGGUUUGUUUUUUCUUUGUCCCUGGAACAAAAUGCUGGUUCCUUGAUUUUUUUUUUUUUAAUUCUUAGGUAACAAAAGGUCAUAUAAUCACUUUAAGUCAGAACACAGGCUCAGUCUGAAAUGCCCAGUCCUAUAUAAUAAAACCCUGACUCUGACUUACAGUUGAGGCUUCCCCGUUCGGUGCAGGCCUGUAGCAGCCCACAGGGGGAGACAGGUGCGGAGCUGGUCGGGGGCUUCUACUUCCCUGCCUUGUUCUGCGCCUUCUCUGUUAGCAGACCAGUCAUGGGUUCGGACUUCUCCAUGUAUUGAACUGCAGGAGGGAGGAGGUGUGCGGUUACUGUUCACGUUGGUAGCCUGUUAGAGGCACGUUGCAGGAGUAUCUUAUUUGACUACUGUUGUCUUGCCUGGCAGUUGUUCGAAGGGGACUCUUUCUCUCCUGGUUUUAGAGACCACCCUGUUGUUGAGAAUUUCUCACCUAGAGUUGAGUCGAAAAACUAAGACUACAGUUGUACUCCAAGAAAUCUUAAGAAAACCAUAUCUCUCCUUUGGACUUCAAAAGGUUACACUAAACCUAAACGAAAAGUAGGCCAAUGAAAAGUGAAAUUUUAACAAAAAUAGACAUUGCGUCAAAGACCUGA
Non-coding RNA from Miniopterus natalensis, 1255 nucleotides. The record is from RefSeq and is a predicted model, not a curated record. Lineage: Eukaryota; Metazoa; Chordata; Mammalia; Chiroptera; Miniopteridae.